RNAcentral lists this ribosomal RNA (479 nucleotides) under uncultured bacterium. RNAcentral's name for it is "bacterial SSU rRNA". It matches the Rfam family "Bacterial small subunit ribosomal RNA", at positions 29 to 483 of the family's 1533-position model. The record is from RNAcentral.
AACAAACGCUGGCGGCGUGCCUAACACAUGCAAGUCGUACGAGAAAGUUUGCUUCGGCGGACGAGUAAAGUGGCGCACGGGUGAGUAACGCGUGGAUAAUCUGCCCUUCAGUUGGGAAUAACUCAUCGAAAGGUGGGCUAAUACCGAAUGACGCUGUCCAACGCAGGUUGGGCAGCCAAAGAUGGCCUCUGCUUGCAAGCUGUCGCUGAGAGAUGAGUCCGCGUACCAUUAGCUAGUUGGUAGGGUAAUGGCCUACCAAGGCGACGAUGGUUAGCUGGUCUGAGAGGAUGAUCAGCCACACUGGAACUGAGACACGGUCCAGACUCCUACGGGAGGCAGCAGUGAGGAAUCUUGCGCAAUGGGGGAAACCCUGACGCAGCAACGCCGCGUGAGUGAGGAAGGUCUUCGGAUCGUAAAGCUCUGUCAGGUGGGAAGAAACGCAAUGAGGUAAAUAAUCUUGUUGCCUGACGGUACCACCG